Long non-coding RNA from Gopherus flavomarginatus (Mexican gopher tortoise), 420 nucleotides. RefSeq lists it as uncharacterized. The transcript has 3 exons. The record is from RefSeq and is a predicted model, not a curated record. NCBI's taxonomy places the organism in Eukaryota, Metazoa, Chordata, Testudines, Testudinidae.
GCCGACCAGCCUGGCCAUUAGCCCAGGGGCACCGGGCCACUAGCCGCUCGGCUCCGGGCCCCCGGCCUGCAAAGGGCCCUGCAGCCACUGACGGUCCCCCAGUGUCUCCCCAGAGGGUGAGAUCCCGGGUUGGUCGUUGACUCAGCCCCACUGACAGUCCCCCAGUGUCUCCCCAGAAGGUGAGAUCCUGGGUUGGUCGUUGACUCAGCCCCACUGACGGUCCCCCAGUGUCUCCCCAGAGGGUGAGAUCCCGGGUUGGUCGUUGACCCAGCCCCACUGACAGUCCCCCCAUGUCUCCCCAGAGGGUGAGAUCCCGGGUUGGUCGUUGACUCAGCCCCACUGACAUCCCCCCAGUGUCUCCCCAGAGGGGGAGAUCCCGGGUUGGUUGUUGACUCAGCCCCACUGACAGACGAGCCUCGU